CCCCCCAAGGAUUCUGCAGCUGGCGCCCACCCCAGGGCCUUCUGCGCGGCCCUGCAGGAGCAGGAGCGCGGGGGGCAGAGUGACGCCGGCUGUGAUGGGGGCUUACGGAGCGGGCCAAGGUCUUGAGUCGCUGUCUUCCGGCUGGUCUCCGCCUGUCCCUCCUGGAUCCAGCAAAUGCUCAGCCUGAGCCUCUCACCACACGGAUGGUGAUAAGGAGAGAGAAGCCGACCCAGGACACCUGGGCCCUGAUGACCACACCAGAUCGGAAAUAGGCCUGAGGGGCCCACAGUAUUCAGUGGGGCAUUCCUUGGGGAGCCAGGUGCUACCAGCAUUUCCUGCCACAUCACGGAACCCAGGACAAAGAAG
This is a long non-coding RNA of Zalophus californianus (California sea lion), 366 nucleotides long. RefSeq lists it as uncharacterized. The record is from RefSeq and is a predicted model, not a curated record. Lineage: Eukaryota; Metazoa; Chordata; Mammalia; Carnivora; Otariidae. The transcript is spliced from 3 exons.